This 257-nucleotide unclassified non-coding RNA is filed under the name uncultured fungus. RNAcentral's name for it is "sequence contains ITS1, 5.8S rRNA gene". The stretch from base 209 to 257 matches the Rfam family "5.8S ribosomal RNA", at positions 1 to 49 of the family's 154-position model. The record is from RNAcentral. Lineage: Eukaryota; Fungi.
UUUCCGUAGGUGAACCUGCGGAAGGAUCAUUACAACAAGGCCACGGGCCCCCGAAGCUCCGGCGGAAGGGGCACCGGCCUGACUUAUAUACCCACCCUUUGCCUAUGUGUACCUCUAUCGCUUCCUCGGCGGGUUCGCCCGCCGCCAGGAACCCACGCCAACCUUUGCAUUAUACAUCAACACUUCUGAUACCCACCAAAACUAUUACAACUUUUAACAAUGGAUCUCUUGGUUCUAGCAUCGAUGAAGAACGCAGC